UCUCCGUAGGUGAACCUGCGGAGGGAUCAUUAACGAGUUCCCCUUAAACGGGUAGAAUUCCCACCCUAUGUUAUCAUUACCUUUGUUGCUUUGGCGGGCCGCCUCGGCCUCGGUCAGGCUACCGGCUCCGGCUGGUAAGCGCCCGCCAGAGGACCCCAAACUCUGAAUAUUAGUGUCGUCUGAGUACUAUAUAAUAGUCAAAACUUUCAACAACGGAUCUCUUGGUUCUG
This 230-nucleotide unclassified non-coding RNA is filed under the name plant metagenome. RNAcentral's name for it is "partial contains small subunit ribosomal RNA, internal transcribed spacer 1, and 5.8S ribosomal RNA". The record is from RNAcentral.